GGCUGUUUUUAAAUGCUUUUUUCCUUCUGUUUAAGUGAAAUCUCGUUUCUGUGAUUGAAUUUAAAAAGCUUGUACCUAAAUAAUUAAGUUUCCCCCAGUUUGUAUGUUCCUUUAGUAACAUCUAAAUGUUAUAGAAUUUCAGAUUGCUUGAAUUUUUUUAUACUGUACUUUUUCUACUUCUGGAGGAUGAACUUACAUCAUUUUUCUUUGUUUUUUUAUGAACUCUCUGAACAUUUUAAACAUAAAAAUAAACAGAUCCUUUAUAAUCAG
Molecule: long non-coding RNA, 270 nt
Filed under: Bos taurus (domestic cattle)
Lineage: Eukaryota; Metazoa; Chordata; Mammalia; Artiodactyla; Bovidae
Description: long non-coding RNA NONBTAT016519
Source: RNAcentral